GUUUGUCCCACAUUCCAAAUUACGUCGCAAACGGUGACUCUGUGUGUGGGACCCACGCGAAUGCGCGCUGUUUCGGCGUUUCCUUCAACCUCACAACACGUUGCGCAGAACGACACCGUUUUGGAACGACGUAAUCCAUAUCCAUCAACCUACCUGAAUCGCUUCAACGAAGGGUCUUUGAAGUUCGAAGGAAAUGAAUGUAAAGCGCAUCGGAUCAACGUCGUUUCGAGACUAUUUCCGAGGACACAGAUCUCUUGAAACUGCUCAAUUUCUCUUCAGGUUCUGAAUCAACUUCAUAGACUCAGCAUGGUAAUUUUAGCUGCUGCAACGAGUUUGAAGCGUCUACUUUUUGUAUCUUUCGACUGAUCAGAUUUCUAGUGAUUCCAAUCCAUCAUAUCUGUUUGAUAGCUUCUUCCUGUACAAUGGCGAGGUAGUCGAUCGAUUACUAAUUUGCGCUCUUGUUUUAUCAUGGAAAUUAGAUCAAACUAUUCAGGUAAUGUUUUUCUCUGAGAUUUCCUAGGCACGUUUGGAACAUACAAAAUUUGAUCGGUGCAUUGACAAUUAAGGAGUAGACAUCAUGUCAGGGAAGAGAGUUUCGCCGAAAUUAGGGAUCUUGUCGUUGUGGUGUGGGAGGCUUCAUUGCUUUAUGCAUGAGUAGGACCGAUUCUUGUGUUUCAGUGGCCAUAGUUUUCUUUCAUUAUCAUCUUAUUUCAUAAAUAGGAUGAAAAGAUUACAAAAGUAUAUACCUUUAGAAGUAUUUAUAUCUUCUUGUUUAAAUUUAUGAAGGAUCUUAAUUGCAGUAUUAACUAUGGUAUGGGGGUUAGGCUUUCUUUUAUGACACCAUUCUGGAAAUUGAUGGAAUCUAAUGAUUCCUGGUGGUUUACAAGGUCUUCCUUAGGUUAGUAGAUUUGCUAAUUUGAAUCAGUCAUAGUGUCCAUGUUACUGUAAUUUGAAUUGCUAUUAUAUGAAUUUUCAUUCUCACGUUUCUUUUAAUUUUGCAUCUGAUGGGUUAAGGCACAUCAUCAUUGACCACAGGCCAUAGCUGAUCAGGUCCUGUAUUAUUGGAUGCGUUUAGGAAUACCCUUCCACCUUUGAUGCUUUUUGCUGCAAAAAUGCAAUUUGACUACUAUUUGUUUUACUUAAGGUUUCAUUGUUACGUUGCAGGAAUGCAUCGAAGACAUUGAUAGUAUCUGUUAAAGGGAAAGCCAAACGAAAUUCAUGACAGAUUAAUUUUGUAACAUUUUACUUGUAGUAUUUUACAGGUUGCAUGCAGAGUGAAGAAUUGAUAUUGAUGUGCCUGACAAUUGAUAAACUGAGAGGCUCCCUGUAUUCAAAAUCGUCAUUGAGUACAAAACUCGCACAUGUGGCAACAGUCAGGAAGAGUAAUAAAUGAAUGACAGAAAAUGCAUGAGUAAGAAGAAAAUCGUAUUGGCAAUUUGCUGCUGUUGGAUCCUACAAGUGCAUGCAUAAGCUGUCCACGCAUUCAUCUCUCCAAUAUUAGAGCUUCACGAGAUCAUCAGAGCUUAAAGAUAAUGUUUUCUGUGCAACAGAUUAUCUCCAACAUGCAGUAUUUCCUGUGCUCUUAUCCCCUUUCUAUUAAUUGUCCAUGCUGCAAAAACGGCUGUUCUUCAUCUGUAAGCAAAGCACAGUGAAAAAUUACACAAUUAUUUGUGAUUGUGAUAUACAUACAACACAUUUCUGCUUAAUCCUUAAAACAUUA
Long non-coding RNA from Vigna unguiculata (cowpea), 1720 nucleotides. RefSeq lists it as uncharacterized. The record is from RefSeq and is a predicted model, not a curated record. NCBI's taxonomy places the organism in Eukaryota, Viridiplantae, Streptophyta, Magnoliopsida, Fabales, Fabaceae.